AUUGAACGCUGGCGGCAGGCCUAACACAUGCAAGUCGAGCGAGCGGCGGAAGGGUGAGUAAUGUCUGGGAAACUGCAUGAUGGAGGGGGAUAACUACUGGAAACGGUAGCUAAUACCGCAUACCAUCAGAUGUGCCAAGAUGGGAUUAGCUAGUGGGUGGGGGAACGGCUCACCUAGGCGACGAUCCCUAGCUGGUCUGAGAGGAUGACCAGCCACACUGGAACUGAGACACGGUCCAGCCUCCUACGGGAGGCAGCAGUGGGGAAUAUUUCACAAUGGGCGCAAGCCUGAUGCAGCCAUGCCGCGUGUGUGAAGAAGGCCUUCGGGUUGUAAAGCACUUUCAGCUGGGAGGCGUUACCCGCAGAAGAAGCCCCGGCUAACUCCGUGCCAGCAGCCGCGGUAAUAC
Molecule: ribosomal RNA, 406 nt
Filed under: uncultured bacterium
Lineage: Bacteria
Description: partial 16S ribosomal RNA
Rfam family: Bacterial small subunit ribosomal RNA
Source: RNAcentral